GCCACCUUAUAAGGACAAUAAAGCCCUCCCUACACCUACCCUAACCCUACCCAAUAUUUAUUUUCACAUUUUUAAUUAUUCCCUUCAAUUUUAUUGAAAUUAAAUGCCUUUCCGAUACGAUAUGUACGGAGCCCCUCUGGUCCCACUUUGUCAAAAAAACAAAAAAAAAAAACAAAAAAAAAAUUAUAAAAAAAUUAUAUGAAGAAGAAUUAUAAAGGACUAUGGAUAUGCAGCCUACAAGAUUUACAUUACUGUAUUAACAGAAUUGAAUUGAUUGUGAUGAACAGUACUAGUAAAUAAAUAGAAGCAGAACUGCAGCAAACUUUAUUACACUGAAUACUAAAAUAGAGAAUAUUGCACAGAAUGUGAAGUAUUACAUUGCACUACAGUACAGGGUCCAGUUUAAUAACAAAGGGUCCAUGUGUCAGACACUUCACUAUCUUGAGGCCACGAGUUAGUAUCUUGAGGCCACGAGUUACUUAUCUUGAGGCCACGAGUUAGUAUCUUGAGGCCACGAGUUACUUAUCUUGAGGCCACGACUUAGUAUCUUGAGGCCACGAGUUAGUAUCUUGAGGCCACGAGUUAGUAUCUUGAGGCCACAAGUUACUUAUCUUGAGGCCACGAGUUAGUAUCUUGAGGCCACGAGUUAGUAUCUUGAGGCCACAAGAUAAGUUUUUUUUUUUUUUUUUUUUACCAAAGUGGGACCAGAGGGGCUCCGUAGAUAUGAGAUUUGAAAAGGGAGAAAAAAAUGUCCGGCUAAAGGCGGAUGCGAACUCGGGUCGGUCGCGUCAAAAAGUACACACUUUAACCGCUACGCCAUUUCUCAGUCUUAACUUUCCUAAUCACAUGUUGGUGGGAGGAUAGCGUAAACAAGGCAGGCUAUUUGUAAUUUGUGUAAUUGGACACUCUGAUUCUUUUAACAUUAUAUCAAAUGUUGCAACAGCUGACAUGAGUCUUAUACACGUGUUCGUUUGUAAAUAAAGCCUAACAAAAUUUAAUCCACAGCACACACCUCUCAACAUUACGAUAUAAAACAGGACAAAAGCCUAUUUAAGUCCUCUCUGUAUAGCCUACCACUUUUAUACAUGCUGCAGCUACAUUUUUAUUUCCAUACUUUUGUAUUACUUCUGUAUAAAACAGUUUAAAAUCACCCAAAGACGCAGGACCUUUAUUAUACAACUCUUAGACAAAAUUGCGGAUGACAACAGUUUCCAAGCCAGGAUUGGUUAAAUAAAAUGUUUAAGGUGGGGCUCAACAAAUGUGUAUUUGCAUGCACAUUGUAGAUAUCUAUAAACAUAUUUUGACUAGCCAAAUUGUUAAUUCGAGAUAUCCACAUUGCAAUUACGCCUAGUCACAAGGCUAAAUGCCGAUAUCUCUAAAUAUAGUUCUUCCUAGUCAAAAAUCUGAUUGGGAUAUCCAUAAUUAAAUUGCAGAUAUCUUUAAAUAUGAUUUGCCUAGUCAAAAUUCCAAUUCAAGAUAUCUACAACUGUAAUUUGACUAGUCAUAAAUUAAUUGUAGAUAUCUACAAAUUAGAUUAGAUUAGAUUAGAUUCAACUGUAUUUUCAUUAUGCAGAGUACAAGUACAGAGCUAAUGAAAUGCAGUUAGCAUCUAACCAGAAGUGCAAGAAUAUAGUGUUUUAUAUACAUAUAAGUGCAGAGUAAGUGAAGCUAUGAUUUACAGAAUGUACAGUGGAGUUGCUGUAUACAGGAUUGAGCAGAGUAUGUACAGAAUUUGAAUAGGAAUGCAAUGUAGGGAUUAUAUGUAUGAAGAGCAGCAAUGUAGGGUUAUAUGCACAUUAUGAACAGCAGCAAUGUAAGAACAGUAGAAAUAAAUACAGUUGGAUGAGUCUGCAAUAGUAUUGUUAAACAAUGUAUUCUAUGCAAAGUAAUCAGUAGUGUAAUAAUAUUUUUAUAGAAAUAAUUUACUGUGCUAUGUACAGUAACAACGUUAGAUAGUUUACAGUGUGAUAGCUUGAACAAUGUGUAGUCUGUGCAAAAUAUGAGUAGUGCAAAUACAUGUAUGUAAAGUACUGUGACCAGUGCAGUAAGAAAGCAGGUGCAGGUUAGAUUGGUGGUGUUGAGUUCAGAAGUGUCACAGCCUCGGGGAAGAAGCUCUUCCUGAGCCUACUAGUAUGAGAGCAUAGACUCCUGUAACACCUGCGGGAUGGAAGGAGGGUGAAAAGUCCAUAGUUAAAGUGAGCGGCAUCCUUGAUGAUGUUCCUUGCCCUGCACAGGCAGCGCUUAUGAUAAAUGUUCUCAAUGGUCGUUAACUGAGUGCCGGUAAUCCGUUGAGCUGUUUUCACUACCCGCUGGAGUGCUUUGCGGUCAGAUGCGGAGCAAUUGCUGUACCACACUGAGAUGCAAAUUGUGAGUAUGCUCUCAAUGGUACAGCAGUAGAAUUCCACAAGGAUCCUCGCACUCAGGUGAACAUUCUUAAGGCUCCGU
Cyprinus carpio carpio is the source of this 2445-nucleotide long non-coding RNA. The record is from Ensembl. Lineage: Eukaryota; Metazoa; Chordata; Actinopteri; Cypriniformes; Cyprinidae.